GAGGGUAUAGCUCAGUGGUAGAACAUGUGCUUAGCAUGCACAAGGAACUGGGUUCAAUCCCCAGUAACUCCA
This 72-nucleotide transfer RNA is filed under the name Camelus bactrianus (Bactrian camel). It matches the Rfam family "tRNA". From Rfam's summary of the family: Transfer RNA (tRNA) molecules are approximately 80 nucleotides in length. Their secondary structure includes four short double-helical elements and three loops (D, anti-codon, and T loops). Further hydrogen bonds mediate the characteristic L-shaped molecular structure. tRNAs have two regions of fundamental functional importance: the anti-codon, which is responsible for specific mRNA codon recognition, and the 3' end, to which the tRNAs corresponding amino acid is attached (by aminoacyl-tRNA synthetases). tRNAs cope with the degeneracy of the genetic code in two manners: having more than one tRNA (with a specific anti-codon) for a particular amino acid; and 'wobble' base-pairing, i.e. permitting non-standard base-pairing at the 3rd anti-codon position. The record is from Rfam by way of RNAcentral. Lineage: Eukaryota; Metazoa; Chordata; Mammalia; Artiodactyla; Camelidae. RNAcentral also lists the same sequence under 2 other names.